GAUCACUCCUAGUAAGAGAAGAUCGCAUCCUGUGUAUUUUUAUUACUAGAUGACUAGAAAAAAUUCUUUUGGCCAAAAGUAGGAAGGAGAUUAGAAAGAGUUUCUAAUGCUUCUUCAUCAGAGUUAUCAUUGGUUAAUUGAGAAUCAAUAUGAAUAUAUGUUUGAGUUUGACAUGAUUCCAUACUCAUGAACAUAUUCAAGGUGCAGGG
Molecule: long non-coding RNA, 209 nt
Filed under: Elaeis guineensis (African oil palm)
Lineage: Eukaryota; Viridiplantae; Streptophyta; Magnoliopsida; Arecales; Arecaceae
Description: long non-coding RNA (EGUI_LNC053192)
Source: RNAcentral